RNAcentral lists this ribosomal RNA (466 nucleotides) under uncultured bacterium. RNAcentral describes it as "partial 16S ribosomal RNA". It matches the Rfam family "Bacterial small subunit ribosomal RNA", at positions 28 to 507 of the family's 1533-position model. The record is from RNAcentral.
GAUGAACGCUGGCGGCGUGCUUAACACAUGCAAGUCGAACGAUGAAGCCCAGCUUGCUGGGUGGAUUAGUGGCGAACGGGUGGGUAACACGUGAGUAACCUGCCCUUAACUCUGGGAUAAGCCUGGGAAACUGGGUCUAAUACCGGAUAGGAGCGUCCACCGCAUGGUGGGUGUUGGAAAGAUUUAUCGGUUUUGGAUGGACUCGCGGCCUAUCAGCUUGUUGGUGAGGUAAUGGCUCACCAAGGCGACGACGGGUAGCCGGCCUGAGAGGGUGACCGGCCACACUGGGACUGAGACACGGCCCAGACUCCUACGGGAGGCAGCAGUGGGGAAUAUUGCACAAUGGGCGCAAGCCUGAUGCAGCGACGCUGCGUGAGGGAUGACGGCCUUCGGGUUGUAAACCUCUUUCAGUAGGGAAGAAGCGAAAGUGACGGUACCUGCAGAAGAAGCACCGGCUAACUACGUG